This is a long non-coding RNA of Symphalangus syndactylus (siamang), 580 nucleotides long. RefSeq lists it as uncharacterized. The record is from RefSeq and is a predicted model, not a curated record. NCBI's taxonomy places the organism in Eukaryota, Metazoa, Chordata, Mammalia, Primates, Hylobatidae.
UUGUCUGGUUUACAAAACAGCUUCAUUUAUUAACAGAAGGGCAUAGGGCUGAGAAUGGGCCCUCUGGGAGAAGGUGAUUUGAAAGACAUAGGUCCUGAAGACCCCAGCCAAGAAACCUAAGGUGUCAGACCAGACACUUGUCAAAGCAGGAAAUGAGACUUGUGUCAGGAGUGAGAGGGAGGCUGGGGUAUCAAUGAGUACAUCUUGUCCUAGAUGGGGGAGUUCUGUAGUAGCCCAGGGGCAGAGAGCUGACUCACCAGACAACAGACACAGUAGCAGUGACCAGCUACAUGACUGCUCUCAGAGAAGAGUUGGUAUUGGACUAUGCUUCUAAAUUAUGUACCACACUGCUGCAUUGAUUCAGCCCUGAAAAGAGAAGACAUCUAAAAAAAACGCCCUUAUCUACUCCCACUCUUAGGCCUUUGUUUGAAGAAUGUAUUGAGAUAUUGAGGGAAGCUGGCCUAUGAAGUGGAGAAGGAGGCAGAACUGGCCCUACAUGUGCACACACGAACUCUGCCUUCUACUGAGAUUGCAAGGUGCCAUGGAAGUAUCCUGGGUCUUUGUAUGCAGCCUGGAAAGG